This 65-nucleotide transfer RNA is filed under the name Ophioleila elegans. RNAcentral describes it as "tRNA-Arg". The record is from RNAcentral. Lineage: Eukaryota; Metazoa; Echinodermata; Ophiuroidea; Amphilepidida; Hemieuryalidae.
AAAGAAUUAGUUUACUAAAAACAAGGAAUUUCGGCUUCCUAAAUCUUGGCUCCCAAGAUUCUUUU